RNAcentral lists this ribosomal RNA (436 nucleotides) under uncultured bacterium. RNAcentral's name for it is "bacterial SSU rRNA". It matches the Rfam family "Bacterial small subunit ribosomal RNA", at positions 954 to 1392 of the family's 1533-position model. The record is from RNAcentral.
GCAAAACGCGAAGAACCUUACCUGGGUUUGACAUGUAGGGAAAAGCUCUAGAGAUAGGGUGUCCUUCGGGCCGUUACACAGGUGGUGCAUGGCUGUCGUCAGUUCGUGUCGUGAGAUGUUGGGUUAAGUCCCGCAACGAGCGCAACCCUUAUCCUAUGUUGCCAGCGCGUAAUGGCGGGGACUCGUAGGAGACUGCCGGGGUCAACUCGGAGGAAGGUGGGGAUGAGGUCAAGUCAUCAUGCCCCUUAUGCCCAGGGCUGCAAACACGCUACAAUGGCCGGUACAGAGGGCUGCGAACUCGCGAGAGCAAGCGAAUCCCACAAAGCCGGUCUCAGUUCGGAUUGGAGUCUGCAACUCGACUCCAUGAAGCCGGAGUUGCUAGUAAUCCUGGAUCAGCACGCCAGGGUGAAUACGUUCCCGGGUCUUGUACACACCG